AUGCUUGAGAAUAUUCUUUGGCUCCCCUUGUGUCGAAUCAAUAAAUUUGGGUUGAAUACUCUACCCUCGAAAACUAUUGCAAUCCCCUAUACUUGUGGGUUAUCAGCAUAUCUCUUCGAGUUUACUGGGAUCUGGCUACGCACGACUGACCCUUACCGGCCUUGGCAUCACCUUCACUUGUCGGAUGAUGCUGCGGUGCGCGACAUCUUCCGUGCGUCGACCACUUGGCACGUCGACAACGGUCAAACCUGCCGCUUCUGGGUGGACCAUUGGCUCGAUGGCAAGUCUAUAUCCAAGCUUGCUCCUAACCUGAUCAAGCUGGUGCCCCGGCGACACCGCAGUAAGCGCCUUGUGCAUGAGGCGCUCUCAAACCGGGCAUGGAUCAGUGACAUCCAAGGCGCUUUGGGCGUGGUGGCCACGGUCGAGUGCAUCCAUCUUUGGAGACGCCUCCUUCAUGUAUCCCUGUCCGCCGACCCCGAUCGUGUUCGCUAGCGCUGUACCGAGCAUGGAACCUACUCGGCCUCAUCUUGCUACAAAGCGCUCUUCCAUGGCUCCAUCGCCGACCCGGACUGGCGGCUAACUUGGAAGGGCUGGGCUUCGACCAACGCCAAGCUCUUCUUGUGGCUUGCGAAGCUUGACCGAUGCUAG
This 648-nucleotide ribosomal RNA is filed under the name Triticum aestivum (bread wheat). Its description in RNAcentral is "partial small subunit ribosomal RNA". Lineage: Eukaryota; Viridiplantae; Streptophyta; Magnoliopsida; Poales; Poaceae. The record is from RNAcentral.